RNAcentral lists this small RNA (24 nucleotides) under Arabidopsis thaliana (thale cress). RNAcentral describes it as "ATSL106060". The record is from RNAcentral. Lineage: Eukaryota; Viridiplantae; Streptophyta; Magnoliopsida; Brassicales; Brassicaceae.
CCAUACAUAAAAACAAACAAAAAA